UGUGGAAAUACUUUCGUGAAUUAAGUCAUUACAUUUGAAACAAGAGUGUAAAAGUCAUUUCAAUAUUUCAUUCAUUCCAUUGUAUUUCGUAGAAUCCUAAAUGUAUUUGUUCAAUAUUUAAAUAUCAAAUGUAGAUUAAAACUUAAAUUUGGUUUUCUUUUUCUGUGAAUUAACUAGUAUCCAAACAGGGUGCAGUAUGUGUGGCUUGAUUAGUAACAUUUUUGGUUGUAAACCUUGUUUAAAUGUAGGUAUUCAAAGAGGCUGAUACAGGCUGUUGAGGAUGAUGGAUUGGUGAACCAUGCUUUGGUGCGGGAUCUAGAUGAAGAUGCAAAGCGGUUGGAACAGUUUGGUGCUGAACUUGAAGUUGAUUGAGUGUGUAGUAAUCAUAUAAAUUUAAAUGGUGUUCAGCUUAGAUUUAAAUGAUACAGCAAUUCAUAAGCUUAUAUAGCUUUAUGAAAUUUGUAAGGUUUUUCCGUAGUUUAAAGUUACACUCUUUUAAUUCAUAAAUUUUUAAGAAAAGGUUUACUGAACCCUUUUUUUUGUUUCUAUUUUAUCCAAAAAAAAUGUGAGAAAAUAUUUUGAACUUUUAAAUGGAGCAAAUUGAAGAACUUUAUUGCAAUUUGGGUAGAAUAAUGAACCUAUUAUUUCUUGAGAGCAACAAGUUAUAUAUUUUUUUAAUUUUAAAUUUACAGUGCGUGUAAAGAGACUUUUUUAAUUUAUGUUUUUACAUGAUGCAUUGCUCUUCGCAUUUUAGCAUUGCUUCUUCUUCGC
RNAcentral lists this long non-coding RNA (771 nucleotides) under Carica papaya (papaya). RNAcentral's name for it is "long non-coding RNA (CPAP_LNC015314)". The record is from RNAcentral. Lineage: Eukaryota; Viridiplantae; Streptophyta; Magnoliopsida; Brassicales; Caricaceae.